CCUACGGGUGGCAGCAGUGAGGAAUAUUGGUCAAUGGGCGAGAGCCUGAACCAGCCAAGUCGCGUGAGGGAAGACGGUCCUAUGGAUUGUAAACCUCUUUUGCCGGGGCGCAAAAAGCGGUACGUGUACCGCAUCGAGAGUACCCGGAGAUAAAGCAUCGGCUAACUCCGUGCCAGCAGCCGCGGUAAUACGUAGGGAGCAAGCGUGGUCCGGAAUUACGGGGCGUAAAGGGCGCGUAGGUGGGUGCUUAAGUCAGGUGUGAAAACUCUGGGCUAAACCUGGGGACUGCCAUUGAAACUGGGUAUCUAGAGGGAAGGAGAGGAAAGUGGAAUUCCUAGUGUAGCGGGGAAAUGCGUAGAUAUUAGGAAGAACACCAGGGGCGAAGGCGACUUUCUGGACUGAACCUGACGCUGAGGCGCGAAAGCGUGGGUAGCAAACAGGAUUAGAUACCCUAGUAGUC
RNAcentral lists this ribosomal RNA (460 nucleotides) under uncultured bacterium. Its description in RNAcentral is "partial 16S ribosomal RNA". It matches the Rfam family "Bacterial small subunit ribosomal RNA", at positions 338 to 795 of the family's 1533-position model. The record is from RNAcentral.